GUGGCCACUGGUGUGGCAUAAUUUCCAAAGUGCCGUGAGCUCUACUCACUUCCUGAACAGUAGAACCAUCGCUUCGUGCUGAGAUGUUGGACCUAGAAAGCUUCUGCUGCAAGGGCUCCCCGACACAAUAGAGAUCCUGGAUGAUCAACACAAGCAGCACCUGGGAGACUGUAAAACAUGUGGCUCCUUAUGUCCAUCCCAGACCCAGAGUGAGAAACCCUGGGAGUAGGACUCAGAAAACGAUGAUGGUGCCCUCCUUCCCAGCCACCCUCCCUGCAGCAUGCAUUUAAACGUAAACACUUCACUGAAUUGAGCCUUCAAAUAAGGUGAAUACACUGUCAUUAUCUGUCGGGAGCCAACCAGCAGCCGUCCCUUGACACAGUCAGGAUGGAUGAGAUGCAUCUGCACAGCAGAGGCAAUUGUGGCUGGAUUUCUGUCUAUCUCUCUUAGCAGAAUUGACUAAAGCUCUACUGCCUCCUGGGCCCCUUCACUGUGAUGCUUCGCUUGAGUUCCAGCCCCUUGUCCAGGACCAGAAUCAGAAAAUGCCUCAGGAUGAAAUUUGUUUCAAAGAAUGUCAGCUCACCUUUCUUUCUUUUUCUCCCUGAGAUCUUGUCUCAUCAAUCUGGGUCACCCUCAUAGUUUUUUGAUGACCCUCAAGAGAAUUUUUGUUUGUAUUUUUUUUCCAGCUUUUCUAAUUGCCUCAUCAAAAGCAUGGCCUGCCAAAAGCGUGGCCUGACUCCAUUUCAGCCCAACGAGAUUUGGUAAAUGCCAUUAUUUGAUUUUUAUUAAAAAGUUCUAUAACUUUGGAAAUUUCA
This is a long non-coding RNA of Artibeus jamaicensis (Jamaican fruit-eating bat), 815 nucleotides long. RefSeq lists it as uncharacterized. The transcript is spliced from 4 exons. Lineage: Eukaryota; Metazoa; Chordata; Mammalia; Chiroptera; Phyllostomidae. The record is from RefSeq and is a predicted model, not a curated record.